Molecule: transfer RNA, 73 nt
Filed under: Felis catus (domestic cat)
Lineage: Eukaryota; Metazoa; Chordata; Mammalia; Carnivora; Felidae
Rfam family: tRNA
About the family: Transfer RNA (tRNA) molecules are approximately 80 nucleotides in length. Their secondary structure includes four short double-helical elements and three loops (D, anti-codon, and T loops).
Source: Rfam by way of RNAcentral
GCCUGGCUGGCUCAGUUGGAAGAGUGUGUGACUCUUGAUCUCAGGGUUAUGAGUUAAAACCCGAUGUUGGGUG